Molecule: ribosomal RNA, 497 nt
Filed under: uncultured bacterium
Lineage: Bacteria
Description: partial 16S ribosomal RNA
Rfam family: Bacterial small subunit ribosomal RNA
Source: RNAcentral
GAUGAACGCUGGCGGCGUGCCUAAUACAUGCAAGUCGAGCGAACAGACGAGGAGCUUGCUCCUCUGACGUUAGCGGCGGACGGGUGAGUAACACGUGGAUAACCUACCUAUAAGACUGGGAUAACUUCGGGAAACCGGAGCUAAUACCGGAUAAUAUAUUGAACCGCAUGGUUCAAUAGUGAAAGACGGUUUUGCUGUCACUUAUAGAUGGAUCCGCGCCGCAUUAGCUAGUUGGUAAGGUAACGGCUUACCAAGGCGACGAUGCGUAGCCGACCUGAGAGGGUGAACGGCCACACUGGAACUGAGACACGGUCCAGACUCCUACGGGAGGCAGCAGUAGGGAAUCUUCCGCAAUGGGCGAAAGCCUGACGGAGCAACUCCGCGUGAGUGAUGAAGGUCUUCGGAUCGUAAAACUCUGUUAUUAGGGAAGAACAAAUGUGUAAGUAACUAUGCACGUCUUGACGGUACCUAAUCAGAAAGCCACGGCUAACUACGUG